RNAcentral lists this signal recognition particle RNA (235 nucleotides) under uncultured Stomatobaculum sp. RNAcentral's name for it is "Bacterial large signal recognition particle RNA". It matches the Rfam family "Bacterial large signal recognition particle RNA", at positions 9 to 236 of the family's 256-position model. Rfam says of the family: The signal recognition particle (SRP) is a universally conserved ribonucleoprotein involved in the co-translational targeting of proteins to membranes. Archaeal SRP consists of a 7S RNA and homologues of the eukaryotic SRP19 and SRP54 proteins. The record is from RNAcentral. Lineage: Bacteria; Bacillati; Bacillota; Clostridia; Lachnospirales; Lachnospiraceae.
GCCGGGGAGAUAGCGGUUCCCUGUACCUGCAAUCCGCUACAGCAGGGGUGAUGUCUCGCCCCGGGUGCGUGAGUUGUGAAGCUGCCCGCGGUAAGCGGUGUUGACGUGAGGGCCCCUGCGCGGCGGACCUCUCUGAACCAUGUCAGGGCAGGAAUGCAGCAGCAUUAAGGAGAUGUGUACGGGUGAUGCAGGAUCACCGUCACCGAGCAGGCUGCCGUGGUAACGUUCAUGGCUC